This 1346-nucleotide ribosomal RNA is filed under the name uncultured bacterium. RNAcentral describes it as "bacterial SSU rRNA". It matches the Rfam family "Bacterial small subunit ribosomal RNA", at positions 28 to 1381 of the family's 1533-position model. The record is from RNAcentral.
GACGAACGCUGGCGGCGUGCUUAACACAUGCAAGUCGAACGGAAAGGCCCUGCUUUUGUGGGGUGCUCGAGUGGCGAACGGGUGAGUAACACGUGAGUAACCUGCCCUUGACUUUGGGAUAACUUCAGGAAACUGGGGCUAAUACCGGAUAGGAGCUCCUGCUGCAUGGUGGGGGUUGGAAAGUUUCGGCGGUUGGGGAUGGACUCGCGGCUUAUCAGCUUGUUGGUGGGGUAGUGGCUUACCAAGGCUUUGACGGGUAGCCGGCCUGAGAGGGUGACCGGCCACAUUGGGACUGAGAUACGGCCCAGACUCCUACGGGAGGCAGCAGUGGGGAAUAUUGCACAAUGGGCGGAAGCCUGAUGCAGCAACGCCGCGUGCGGGAUGACGGCCUUCGGGUUGUAAACCGCUUUCGCCUGUGACGAAGCGUGAGUGACGGUAAUGGGUAAAGAAGCACCGGCUAACUACGUGCCAGCAGCCGCGGUGAUACGUAGGGUACGAGCGUUGUCCGGAUUUAUUGGGCGUAAAGGGCUCGUAGGUGGUUGAUCGCGUCGGAAGUGUAAUCUUGGGGCUUAACCCUGAGCGUGCUUUCGAUACGGGUUGACUUGAGGAAGGUAGGGGAGAAUGGAAUUCCUGGUGGAGCGGUGGAAUGCGCAGAUAUCAGGAGGAACACCAGUGGCGAAGGCGGUUCUCUGGGCCUUUCCUGACGCUGAGGAGCGAAAGCGUGGGGAGCGAACAGGCUUAGAUACCCUGGUAGUCCACGCUGUAAACGGUGGGUACUAGGUGUGGGGUCCAUUCCACGGGUUCCGUGCCGUAGCUAACGCUUUAAGUACCCCGCCUGGGGAGUACGGCCGCAAGGCUAAAACUCAAAGGAAUUGACGGGGCCCCGCACAAGCGGCGGAGCAUGCGGAUUAAUUCGAUGCAACGCGUAGAACCUUACCUGGGUUUGACAUGGAUCGGGAGCGCUCAGAGAUGGGUGUGCCUCUUUUGGGGUCGGUUCACAGGUGGUGCAUGGCUGUCGUCAGCUCGUGUCGUGAGAUGUUGGGUUAAGUCCCGCAACGAGCGCAACCCUUGUUCACUGUUGCCAGCACGUUAUGGUGGGGACUCAGUGGAGACCGCCGGGGUCAACUCGGAGGAAGGUGGGGAUGACGUCAAGUCAUCAUGCCCCUUAUGUCCAGGGCUUCACGCAUGCUACAAUGGCUGGUACAGAGAGUGGCGAGCCUGUGAGGGUGAGCGAAUCUCGGAAAGCCGGUCUCAGUUCGGAUUGGGGUCUGCAACUCGACCUCAUGAAGUCGGAGUCGCUAGUAAUCGCAGAUCAGCAACGCUGCGGUGAAUACGUUCCCGGGGCU